CUACGGGUGGCUGCAGUGAGGAAUAUUGCACAAUGGGGGGAACCCUGAUGCAGCAACGCCGCGUGGAGGAUGACGCAUUUCGGUGUGUAAACUCCUUUUAUAUGUCAAGAAAAUGACGGUAGCAUAUGAAUAAGCACCGGCUAACUCUGUGCCAGCAGCCGCGGUAAUACGGAGGGUGCAAGCGUUACUCGGAAUCACUGGGCGUAAAGGACGCGUAGGCGGGUUGGAAAGUCAGGUGUGAAAUCCUACAGCUUAACUGUAGAACUGCACUUGAAACUUCUAAUCUAGAGUAUGGGAGGGGGAGAUGGAAUUAGUGGUGUAGGGGUAAAAUCCGUAGAUAUCACUAGGAAUACCUAAAGCGAAGGCGAUCUCCUGGAACAUUACUGACGCUAAGGCGUGAAAGCGUGGGGAGCAAACAGGAUUAGAUACCCUAGUAGUC
RNAcentral lists this ribosomal RNA (439 nucleotides) under uncultured bacterium. Its description in RNAcentral is "partial 16S ribosomal RNA". It matches the Rfam family "Bacterial small subunit ribosomal RNA", at positions 339 to 795 of the family's 1533-position model. The record is from RNAcentral.